GACGAACGCUGGCGGCGUGCCUAGUACAUGCAAGUCGAACGCACAGUUUAUACCGUAGCUUGCUACACCAUAAACUGUGAGUUGCGAACGGGUGAGUAACGCGUAGGUAACCUGCCUGGUAGCGGGGGAUAACUAUUGGAAACGAUAGCUAAUACCGCAUAAUAUUGAUUAUUGCAUGAUAAUUGAUUGAAAGAUGCUAUUGCAUCACUACCAGAUGGACCUGCGUUGUAUUAGCUAGUAGGUGAGGUAACGGCUCACCUAGGCGACGAUACAUAGCCGACCUGAGAGGGUGAUCGGCCACACUGGGACUGAGACACGGCCCAGACUCCUACGGGAGGCAGCAGUAGGGAAUCUUCGGCAAUGGACGAAAGUCUGACCGAGCAACGCCGCGUGAGUGAAGAAGGUUUUCGGAUCGUAAAGCUCUGUUGUAAGAGAAGAACGGGUGUGAGAGUGGAAAGUUCACACUGUGACGGUAUCUUACCAGAAAGGGACGGCUAACUACGUG
RNAcentral lists this ribosomal RNA (505 nucleotides) under uncultured bacterium. Its description in RNAcentral is "partial 16S ribosomal RNA". It matches the Rfam family "Bacterial small subunit ribosomal RNA", at positions 28 to 507 of the family's 1533-position model. The record is from RNAcentral.